CGCCUGGGGAGUGCGGCCGCAAGGUUAAAACUCAAAUGAAUUGACGGGGGCCCGCACAAGCGGUGGAGCAUGUGGUUUAAUUCGACGCAACGCGAAGAACCUUACCUGGCCUUGACAUCCAGAGAGCUUUCCAGAGAUGGAUUGGUGCCUUCGGGAACUCUGAGACAGGUGCUGCAUGGCCGUCGUCAGCUCGUGUCGUGAGAUGUUGGGUUAAGUCCCGUAACGAGCGCAACCCCUAUCCCUGGUUGCUAGCAGGUAAUGCUGAGAACUCCAGGGAGACUGCCGGUGACAAACCGGAGGAAGGUGGGGAUGACGUCAGGUCAUCAUGGCCCUUACGGCCAGGGCUACACACGUGCUACAAUGGCGCGUACAGAGGGCUGCCAACUCGCGAGAGUGAGCCAAUCCCUCAAAACGCGUCGUAGUCCGGAUCGGAGUCUGCAACUCGACUCCGUGAAGUCGGAAUCGCUAGUAAUCGCGAAUCAGAAUGUCGCGGUGAAUACGUUCCCGGGCCUUGUACACACCGCCCGUCACACCAUGGGAGUGGAUUGCACCAGAAGUAGUUAGUCUAACCUUCGGGAGGACGAUUACCACGGUGUGGUUCAUGACUGGGGUGAAGUCGUAACAAGGUAACCGUA
Molecule: ribosomal RNA, 635 nt
Filed under: uncultured Marinobacter sp.
Lineage: Bacteria; Pseudomonadati; Pseudomonadota; Gammaproteobacteria; Pseudomonadales; Marinobacteraceae
Description: bacterial SSU rRNA
Rfam family: Bacterial small subunit ribosomal RNA
Source: RNAcentral